AUAUAUAUAUAUCCUGCCUUGCGCUUAAUUCCUACGUCACCUGAUCAUGUCAGGCCUAUAAGUAGAGGCAUGAUUUUACACAAGCUUCAGAUACCGGUCACGCGCGCAAGGCGUUCCCAUACUGAAAGCUCAUCACAUUAUAGAAUAAAGUUAAUAAGUGGAACCUGAACAUCAAUAGUAACUUUCACCGUUUGAGCAUGGUCUGGACUUUAAGUUCACUUGGAAAUCCUCUAUAAGUUAUUGGUCAUGGGGGGAAAUAAGAUUAAUCCAUCAGGAUCACGUUACGAUCUAUAAUUACAUCAUCAUUUACACUCCGUGUUGUUCAUGAUCAGGUGAUUUGUAGGAUGUAGAAAUCCGUCUCCAGAUUUUGAGUGAGUUUUAUGAACACGGUAACGUCCCUACACGCACCUCAGACAAGAUUUUUCACUUUAUUCGGUUUAUUCUAAUUCUGUAACCUUGACAACACUGUGACGUCAUGGCUCAGCCAGCAAUAAAACAUUCCACUCAGCUGAAGUGGUCUUUGGUUUCUACAGACAGAUCACUGAGAGACUUGUUUCUGCACGACAGAACGAUUUUCAAAAAUGAGGAGGAAUCACAAAAAGACACCUCAGCAUCAAGCUAUGCAGGGAUUAAGGAGUAGUAAAAUGGACAUAGUGUCCAGAACAAGAGAAAAAGCAGCAAUGACGAUCACUCCAGAAUCGAGUAACAGGCCUACAAACCAAGAUUUCUUGCAGCAAACUGCACGACCUGAGGAAGUUCUGCAUAGAACGCCCAGAAUGGAUCCGAUUGGUCUUCCCCCAUCCAGAGCACCGGUGUGUGGGGAAAAGUUAAGCAAAACAACCAGCAAUCCUGAGGAACUUACAGGUACUACAGAGGUAAAGAGUAAGUCUCUUGAGGCUACAAUUGAGGUAGAACCUCAAUUAAGAACCAACAUUACUGAUGCUAUCCUGGAUUGUAUAACCUCUACAUCGUUCAAGAAUCAGCUCGCUCUGCGCAUUGUGGGUGAGAUUGAUGAUAUACUAGCAAAAGCUGUGUCCCAGGUUCACGAGAAACAGCAUGCUGUGAGUUUCGAAACAGCAGAAGAUAAGACGAACAUCUCCCCGGAACAACAAUCGAGCAACAAUGUUUUCAUGCCUGGCUUCAGUGAUGGUGUGGCAUCUGUGCUUGGUUAUGCACUGAUAGAAGUUAGAGAACAUGUGAAAAAAACUUUUAGAAGCCAGUCACACAAAUUUCAGACAGUCUCACCCACGGCAUGCGAUUCUGUAACAGAAAUAGUGGACAGCGUCUUUGAAAGCAUGCUUGAUUCCUUGACUGCUCAACUGAAACCAGAUGUUUGCACUGAAAGGGAUCCUAGCAUGAUUGAUUCUCUUUAUAGUCAUGAGUUUGAUACAGUGUUUGAUAGUAUCCUUCCCAGCACUGACUCAGAUUUCAACCAGAGUCCAGUCCAUGAGCCAAGAGGAAGUGAUGAUGAGUCUAGUGUGACAACUCAGGGCAGUGAGACAUUAGACAUUGUGAAAGAGAGAGCUGACUCCCCAAGAAGAUCUACCAAAGUCCCGUUCUCCACAGUAUUUGACCAGUCUUCUGGACCUGAAGUUAAGGCCAAAGAUGAGGUUGAGGGCAUCUUGGCUGAUUCUGGAAGCAUGAGCCACCUUGAUGACCCUCUGACUUCAAGAAUCAAAUCUGACUCCGAUUCGGAUACAAGCGUUCUUGAGCUCACUGCUACUUCUGCAACGGAAAAUGUUGACCACAUGUCAAGAUCUGAUGAAGUAGCAGAAGAAGGACUUGUGGCUAAAUCAGAUGUUGAGCUUGAGCAAAUCAUGGCUGCUCCUUCUGAGGAAAACACUCCUUCUGACAUAACUUCCCAAAGCCUUGAGCUGAUUGGACACCAGGAAUGUGCUAGCCCUGUCCCUUCACCACCUUCUAGUGAUCAGCCAGAGGAUCUGCCAGCUCUUUGCCAAACAGAGCAUCUUUGACCAGUCUCACCAAAAUGUAGAGAGUGAUGGCAAGCGUAGACUUUCUCUGACUGGCAUGGAAAUGGGUUCUUCUGGAAGCAGAAGUCGCCUUGAUGAACCUCAGUUCAUCUGAAACUUACAACGUUGAAGAAGCUGCAGCAAAAUCAGCUGGAUACAAAGCAGUACUAUGUUGAAAUUAUUCUGACGUAUUAAAUCAUUGCAAAUAAAUGAACCAUCCAUUCAUUAUCUUUUUACACUGUUCUUUCUUGUAUCCAAAUUGUAGCCUCCCCAAGAGGACUGUCGUGGGAAAUAAUCUUUCCAGCCUAACAAAAAGCUUCAGAGACAGAGGGUUUGUAGAUGUCAAAAGUAAUUAAACUUUAUUGAAACAAUAAAGUGAGACAGUCUGCAGAAAGUCUAAAUUAUGCAACCACACACAGCCCUUUUUAUACCUUUCUCCACAGCAAACUCAUCUUAGGUGGGGUUUUACCUUUUCUCAUUAAAAAAAGACCAGUCUUCUUUGGCCACAAUUAAUUAUUCAAAUCUAUAUGUUAUCUUAAAUUUGUGGAGCAUGCGCAGUUAGUUGUUUUACUGGAAAAGGUUUUAUGAGGACAAGGUUUCUUUUUUUAAAAAGAGUCUUUGUUUUUCGUUCGUCUCUGACCAACACUCCCUUCUUAUGUCUCAAUGAGCUUCUGUCUGUUUCUAUCUGCCAUCCUAGCUGAUAUCCACCUCCCUUCCUGAGCCCUUUCAUAUAAAAUGCAAUUAUUUCAAUACAGUAAUUUCAAUGCAUCAUAUUUCACAAUGGCUAACAUGGCUAAUUACAAUGAAUGCAAAUUAUAUGCUUUAAUUAAAAAAAAAAACAAAAAAAAAAACAGCUGUGGUUGCUUAUUCCACUUGUAAUUUCAGGUGUAAUUUGCAGUUGUAAUUUUUCAUGAAGUCGUCAGCCAGUAACAGUCAGGACGAGACUGGGUAGUGGAGGUGUGAUAUGAACAGGGUAAGAGACAAACAGGAGGUUUGCCUUGCUGAAACUUCAACAACUUUUUGUACUUCAGCAAUGUUAAAAUAAAAUAAUUGAAAUAAUCUUUUUUGAGAUGUGUUGCUGCCAUCAAAUUGAAAAUUACCUAUUUUUCCCUUAAAAUUGUACAUUUCCUCAGUUUAAACAUGUGAUAUGUGUUCUACAUUCUAUUGUGAAUAAAAUAUGGGUUUAAGAUUUGCAAAUCAUUGCAUUCUGUUUUUAUUUACAGUUUACCCAUCUUCUAUAUGUUGAUGCUGAUAGUUGUAUCUUCC
Molecule: long non-coding RNA, 3236 nt
Organism: Ictalurus punctatus (channel catfish)
Lineage: Eukaryota; Metazoa; Chordata; Actinopteri; Siluriformes; Ictaluridae
Source: Ensembl